This 509-nucleotide ribosomal RNA is filed under the name uncultured bacterium. RNAcentral describes it as "partial 16S ribosomal RNA". It matches the Rfam family "Bacterial small subunit ribosomal RNA", at positions 28 to 523 of the family's 1533-position model. The record is from RNAcentral.
GACGAACGCUGGCGGUGUGCUUAACACAUGCAAGUGGUGCGACGAACCUGGCUUCGGCCAGGGGCAAAGCCGCGAACGGGUGAGUAACACGUGGGUAAUCUGCCCCGAUGACUGGGACAACCCGAGGAAACUCGGGCUAAUACCGGAUGUGGUGCCUGGACAUAAGUCCGGUCACUAAAGGUAGCUUCGGCUUCCGCCUUGGGAGGGGCCCGCGGCCCAUUAGCUUGUUGGUGGGGUCAAGGCCUACCAAGGCAACGAUGGGUAGCUGGUCUGAGAGGACGAUCAGCCACACUGGGACUGAGACACGGCCCAGACUCCUACGGGAGGCAGCAGUGGGGAAUCUUGCGCAAUGCGCGAAAGCGUGACGCAGCAACACCGCGUGAGGGAAGACGGCCUUAGGGUUGUAAACCUCUUUCAGAUGGGACGAAGGUUGUCCGGUGAAUAGCCGAGAUGAUUGACGGUACCGUCAGAAGAAGCUCCGGCUAACUACGUGCCAGCAGCCGCCGUAA